Non-coding RNA from Oryza nivara, 209 nucleotides. The record is from Rfam. NCBI's taxonomy places the organism in Eukaryota, Viridiplantae, Streptophyta, Magnoliopsida, Poales, Poaceae.
AGUAAGUGCAGUUUUGCACUAUUCACGUUUAACGUUUGACCGUUCGUCUUAUUAGAAAUUUUUUAUGAUUAGUAUUUUUAUUACUAUUAGAUAAUAAAACAUGAAUAGUAAUUUAUAUGUGACUAAUUUUUUUUUUAAUUUUUUCAUAAAUUUUUCAAAUAAGAUGGAUGGUUAAAGGUUGGACACGGAUAUCCACGGCUGCACUUAUU